Molecule: transfer RNA, 75 nt
Filed under: Mus musculus (house mouse)
Lineage: Eukaryota; Metazoa; Chordata; Mammalia; Rodentia; Muridae
Description: tRNA-Ser
Source: RNAcentral
GGCUGGAGAGAUGGCUCAGUGGUUAAGAGCACUGACUGCUCUUCCAGGGGUCCUGAAUUCAAUUCCCAGCAGCCA